Molecule: ribosomal RNA, 443 nt
Filed under: uncultured prokaryote
Description: partial 16S ribosomal RNA
Source: RNAcentral
CCUACGGGUGGCUUCAAACCAAGUGACGGCAUGGCUGGACUGGCCUUGCUGCAGACUCAGCAGCCCUAGGGUGUAGCUGGCCUCGGGGUGAUGCGGGUCUAGUGCCAAAACUUGAUGACAGGCCUGUUCCGCCUCGGCAAAACAACCGGAGGCGAGGCGCGUCUGUGCAUAGUGCAAAAGCGUAUCGGGUGACAUAGCAAAACCACUUCAUAUCUGGGCAGGAGGAAGGAAAAAGUGUACGAGAUUCCUUGCCCAUCGUCUGACAAAAACAACCUCGCCCAUACCGCCCUCCCCAUCCAAACCCGCGUGCUGGUUGACGGUAAAGAAGCAUAUCGGCUACAAAGCGGGGAUAGUUUUAUCUGGGUUCUGCGCCCCCCAAUCGCACAACCAUUCCUUGUCUACCCUCCCAUUAAGGCUGUGUCAUGUCAGAUACCCUUGUAGUC